CAGAGGUCCCAAGCGUUGUUCGGAUUCAGUUGGGCGUAAAGGGUGCGUAGGUGGCGCUGUAAGUCGGGUGUGAAAUUUCGGAGCUUAACUCCGAAACUGCAUUCGAUACUGCGGUGCUUGAGGACUGGAGAGGGAGACUGGAAUUCAUGGUGUAGCAGUGAAAUGCGUAGAGAUCAUGAGGAAGACCAGUGGCGAAGGCGGGUCUCUGGACAGUUCCUGACACUGAGGCACGAAGGCCAGGGGAGCAAACGGGAUUAGAUACCCCGGUAGUCCUGGCAGUAAACGGUGCACGUUUGGUGUGGGAGGAUUCGACCCCUUCCCGCGCCGGAGCUAACGCGUUAAACGUGCCGCCUGGGGAGUACGGUCGCAAGAUUA
RNAcentral lists this ribosomal RNA (375 nucleotides) under uncultured organism. RNAcentral describes it as "bacterial SSU rRNA". It matches the Rfam family "Bacterial small subunit ribosomal RNA", at positions 526 to 896 of the family's 1533-position model. The record is from RNAcentral.